CCAUCAAGCGCUCCUCUCCCCUCUCUACAAUAGCGCAGGGCGACCCGGAUUAAUCUCCGCCGCGUGUGGCGCUCCUCUGGCACAACCGCCAGCGCGGGCCGCGUCCGCGGCUCACAUGGAGUCCCCCUUGCGGCCUUGCCCAGACUAGGGUGGCUGGUCGGGCCGAGAUAGGGGGCUCCUGACAGCGUUCGCGCCUGCCUCUGCCGACGCCGUUGGCUACCUUCGCUCCUCCUACGCCCCUACCGUAGCAGUCGCGCCCGCCGCUGACGACGCCGCCGGCUACCUCCCCUCCUCCUUUGUCCCCAGCCGGUAUCCUUGGUGGCCUCGGUUGAGCGCUGAUUCGUCCAUUGCUCCCUGCAGAUGGAAGAUAUGUACAUGUCUAGAGGAGGCUGCAGCAUGCGGUGGUGGCCUAUGUUGGUCGGCGGAAUCACACCGGCCACUGGGGUUUCACCUGGAAGGAUGCUCUAGCCGCCGACUCUGCCAUGGAGUGGACGCCGCGCCGGUCAGGUUCCCAGCCGGUUGACACGGCUUUCUUUUCGGCCUCGGAUGGCUAGGCUAAUGGUGAUGCCGAGUAGGGCCUCGAUUGACAUCCAUGGCUUCCAGGAGCAUUGGAUCGAUCUCAUCCCGUCGGCCCCGACUGAUUCAGAGAGCACAUUGUAGUUCAGCAACGUGAAGGAAGUUCUGUUCCUUUCCAUUGGUGAUGGAUUUGUGGGGAACGAGACAUCAAACUUUCAACUAUGGCGAGGAUAUCUCUGGGGUUCAAGGUUCUUUUCUCUAUGUUCGUAUUCUGUCAGUAUUUUUUUCAUAUACACUAACCACACAACCCACUACUUCAGGCCCAAUGCAGCCCAGUGACCGUCCAAUACUCUUUAUCUUCCCCCGUUGCCAUAUAGGCCAUGUAAUAGCGCAUGCUUCUAUAAACACAACAAUUGACGUUUGGCGCUCCCUCUCCUAAUAAUAAGUUAAUAACUGAGAUGGCGCUCCUCUUCCUCUCCCCACAGUCUUCACAAGUAACUGACGGAUUGUUGUUUAAAGUAUGUGCUCUGCCUCACCUUAUUUCUCAUUGUGCUCCAGCACGGCUGGGUGUCUGCCAUAGCACUCCUACUGCAGCCAUCCGUCAGCAACUACCUCCGAUUUCCUCCAAAUCCCCUAUGACAUGUUGCUACUUGCAUCACAAAUUGCAUUUUCUUAGGUGGUGCCUGCUGGACGACGUCCAAGUGUUCAUCUUCGCUGGUCUUCCAAUCUCUGCAUAUAUAGGUAACUUAGGCACCUAUUGGUACGUUUAAACCUAAAUUUAAUUUUGCUUGAUUGAAUCUGUAACCUUUUUUCAUAAACCUCCGUGCUUAUUGAAUCCCUCUGAUCAAACUUAUGCUUUCUGUGUGUAAUGCUUCACAAAACUCCAUGCUUAUUGCAUUCCUCUAAUUAAACUACCAGGAUGAUGCCGACAGACCUACCAGGUAUAACAACACUAACAUGCCUAUAAUGCACAUGAUUUCAUUAUAACUAGAUGAACUACAUACAUGCUCUCUUUUUAUUGAUCAGUUGGCUUAGCCCAUAAGAGAAUUAUCUUAUCUAGGUGUAGCUACAGGAACAAGACUGUAGUCUCCCCAAAAGACACAAGCAAGACAAUGCAGAAAAUAAUAAUCCUGCAACCAACUCUGAACAUCCGGAGUAAACCAAACAUGCAGAAAAAUUAGGACAACAUCCGUUGUGCUACCGCUAAAAAUAAUCUUCGCCUUCCAUUGUAAUCCAGAAAUGUUAUCAAAUGAAAUACUUAUGUUUCGUGCAACAACACAUCUACGUAUGAUAUUGAGUGCGACCACAUGCAUCUGCAUGGAUAUAUUAUAAACAAAUGCCACGACUUCAAUUUCCCCUGCAACAUGUCCUAAUUUGUCCCGCUCAACUAUGUAUGUAGUGCU
This is a long non-coding RNA of Triticum dicoccoides, 1919 nucleotides long. RefSeq lists it as uncharacterized. NCBI's taxonomy places the organism in Eukaryota, Viridiplantae, Streptophyta, Magnoliopsida, Poales, Poaceae. The record is from RefSeq and is a predicted model, not a curated record. The transcript has 3 exons.